Molecule: long non-coding RNA, 452 nt
Filed under: Homo sapiens (human)
Lineage: Eukaryota; Metazoa; Chordata; Mammalia; Primates; Hominidae
Description: HSALNT0055328
Source: RNAcentral
AAGAUCUCAGGUAGGAGAGUGAGAGUGAAAAUUGCAAGGCACCUGGAGACCUAGACUUAGUAGUUGUGUGAAAUUACUUCCAUUUCAUUUGACUGGUCAAAGCAAGACAAGGCCAGGGCAGAUUCAAGAGGAGGUGGAAAUGGACUCCAGUUCUUGAUGGGAGAAGCAGCAAAGUCAGGAAGCAAAAGGACAUGAAUAGAAAGAAAAGGGAAGUUUGGGCACAGACACAGACAAGCACACAGGAAAGAUGAGGGGAAGACACAGGAAGAAGACAGCCAUGUGAUUGGAGUGAUGCAUCUACAAGCCAAGGAACACCAAGUAUUGCCAGCAAACACCAAAAGCUAGGAAGAGGCAAAAACUUCCCUUACAGAUUUCAGAGGGAGCAUAACCCUGAUGACACCUUCAUUUUAGAUUUCUAGCCACCAGAAUUGUGAGACAUUGAAUUCCUGUUG